Molecule: non-coding RNA, 1675 nt
Organism: Misgurnus anguillicaudatus (oriental weatherfish)
Lineage: Eukaryota; Metazoa; Chordata; Actinopteri; Cypriniformes; Cobitidae
Source: RefSeq, a predicted model, not a curated record
CAACUCUAUAACCCAACGAUUCUAUCUUGUCUACAAACCCCGUUCUGUCACGAAAAAUCACGCGAUAAAACAAACCGGAAAUGACGCGAAACUACACGCGCGCCGGUAAAAACCCACAGAAGAAGAAACAAGACGCGCAAAACUUUUGUUUGUAUAUAUAGACUUCAGACAGAAAUUAGUGCUGCAAACCGUUUGCGCGAUGCAAAGCCGCAAAAGAAAAAAAUUAUAGAGAUGUGAUGUGGAGAGGUGGAUCAGAACCACACGCGGACAGCAGGGAUUAAAGAUUUGAGAAUAGGACAGGCUUCGCAAAACAUGAUUUGGAGAGCGUUUGUCUUUGACCCUGCGAUUCUAUGCAACAGGUGACACGUUCAAGUUCAUCAGGUUCAAGUCCAGGAUGGGAGACCAGCACCAUCUCACAAAUAGUUUUGGAUGUUCUGCUCUGUACCAGGUUAUAAAGGACGAUUUCUUGAAGACACCAUCAACGGAAGGAGAGUGGCAUACAAUAGCCAUGGACUUCGAAAGGAAGUGGCAGUUUCCACAUUGCUUUGGGGUACUUGCUACCACUCCAGCUGUAGCAGACUGCUGACCACAACAUGGUUGAUGGGCAGUGGAAGAUUCACGGGAUGUGUGCUUUUCAACCGAUGAAAUACACCUCACAUCACAAUUGUAUGGCAAUAGCAAAAGUGCAACGCAAUCUGAUGCGGGACUACUUUGCCUCACCAGUGGGUAGUGAUUAUUGGCAAGUUCAUCACAUUUUAAAAGGAACUGAUGUAGGGGUGGUUUCCCGGACAGGGAUUAGCUUAAACCAGGACUAGACCUUAGUUUAAUUAGGAAAUAUAACUAGUUUUAACAAACAUGCCUUACUAAAAACAUUACUUGUGUGCAUUUUGAAGCAAAACAAAGGGCACUGAUGUAUUUUAAGAUAUAUCAGUUCAAGUUGUUUUUAGUUUGGACAGCUUUUACAUUUAUUUUAGUCCAGGACUAGUCUAAUCCCUGUCCGGGAAACCGCCCCGUAGAGUUAUCCCUGCAAACAGCAGAUUAAAGCCAGUUAUUGUCAGUUUAGGACAUUCGUUUUCUUGUGUGUUCUAAAGUCCUGUAUUUGUAAAGAACACACAUGUGGUUCACUUAUUCAUUGUUUUAAGUAUUCUGUUUAUUGUUGUGUUAUUAUUGAAUAAAUUUUAAUUGCAUACAAAUCAAAAGGUGCAGGAAUGUAAUAAAGGCAAUCUGCAUGUUGCAAUUAAGUGCCUUAUACUAACUUUAUUUCUUGAUCCACACUCAUUAUUCACAGAACAUUAACAAUGUUUCUAUACUAGGGCGAUUAAACAUCAACAUAUCUGAUCAUGAUAAAAUUUAUGGCGAUUGUGAUGAUAAGCUCUGGGCAUUUUUACUCAAUGUGGAUUAAUCUAACAGCCAAUCACACACAAUUAUAUUAUGAUAUUUAUAUAUCACCCAGCCCUUAAAGGAGCUCUACACAGGGAGUUUUGUAAUGUUUAAUUGUGUUAAUGUGGCGCACUGCAUGUGUUCUAACAAUGUAUAUUUUGUCUGUUCACAUAAUAUACAUUCUAAUGUACUACAUUGCACUAAAGCACUAUUCAUAUUGCCUGUUUUUGUAAAAUAUGACUCAAUGUGUUUAAUACUUUUAUACUUUGUUGCAUUAAAUGUAUUACUUUCGAUA